RNAcentral lists this ribosomal RNA (309 nucleotides) under uncultured bacterium. Its description in RNAcentral is "partial 16S ribosomal RNA". It matches the Rfam family "Bacterial small subunit ribosomal RNA", at positions 504 to 809 of the family's 1533-position model. The record is from RNAcentral.
AGAGACAGCAGUCGCCACGGUAAUACGUAGGUGGCGAGCGUUGUCCGGAAUUAUUGGGCGUAAAGGGAGCGCAGGCGGACAUAUAAGUCCAUCUUAAAAGUGCGGGGCUCAACCCCGUGAGGGGGUGGAAACUGUAUGCCUUGAGUGUAGGAGAGGAAAGCGGAAUUCCCAGUGUAGCGGCGAAAUGCGUAGAUAUUGGGAGGAACACCAGUGGCGAAGGCGGCUUUCUGGACUGCAACUGACGCUGAGGCUCGAAAGCCAGGGGAGCGAACGGGAUUAGAUACCCCCGUAGUCCCUGUCUCUUAUACA